UACGUAGGGUGCGAGCGUUAAUCGGAAUUACUGGGCGUAAAGCGUGCGCAGGCGGUUUUGUAAGCCAGAUGUGAAAUCCCCGGGCUUAACCUGGGAAUGGCAUUGGAAACUGGCGGGCUUGAGUGCGGCAGAGGGGGGUGGAAUUCCUGGUGUAGCGGUGAAAUGCGCAGAUAUCAGGAGGAACACCGGUGGCGAAGGCGGGUCUCUGGGCCGUAACUGACGCUGAGGAGCGAAAGCGUGGGGAGCGAACAGG
RNAcentral lists this ribosomal RNA (253 nucleotides) under uncultured bacterium. Its description in RNAcentral is "partial 16S ribosomal RNA". It matches the Rfam family "Bacterial small subunit ribosomal RNA", at positions 524 to 776 of the family's 1533-position model. The record is from RNAcentral.